RNAcentral lists this ribosomal RNA (253 nucleotides) under uncultured bacterium. Its description in RNAcentral is "partial 16S ribosomal RNA". It matches the Rfam family "Bacterial small subunit ribosomal RNA", at positions 524 to 776 of the family's 1533-position model. The record is from RNAcentral.
UACGUAGGGUGCGAGCGUUGUCCGGAAUUAUUGGGCGUAAAGGGCUCGUAGGCGGUCUGUUGCGUCUGGAGUGAAAACUCGGGGCUUAACCCCGAGCCUGCUUCUGAUACGGGCAGACUAGAGGUAUGCAGGGGAGAACGGAAUUCCUGGUGUAGCGGUGAAAUGCGCAGAUAUCAGGAGGAACACCGGUGGCGAAGGCGGUUCUCUGGGCAUGUCCUGACGCUGAGGAGCGAAAGUGUGGGGAGCGAACAGG